GCGGAACUUGAAGAUAGGUUAUCCGUGUAGCCUUCGCUUUACUUGUGACGAAUCAUACACGGUUCACCUAUUUUUUAGUACCAA
RNAcentral lists this microRNA precursor (84 nucleotides) under Bos taurus (domestic cattle). The record is from RNAcentral. RNAcentral also lists the same sequence under 2 other names. Lineage: Eukaryota; Metazoa; Chordata; Mammalia; Artiodactyla; Bovidae.